Long non-coding RNA from Carassius gibelio (silver crucian carp), 406 nucleotides. RefSeq lists it as uncharacterized. The record is from RefSeq and is a predicted model, not a curated record. NCBI's taxonomy places the organism in Eukaryota, Metazoa, Chordata, Actinopteri, Cypriniformes, Cyprinidae. The transcript is spliced from 3 exons.
GUGACGACAGUCACAACAACAACAACAACAACAACACGUGCCGAUUCUGCAGAUGAUUUAGUCUUCAAAGUUUUUACUGACACUUUGACAGCACAUCUUUCAGCUCAGCUGGAAACUAAACCGAGCGAUAAAACGAGUGUCACGCGACUCACCUUCUUGAAUCUUCAGAAUAAGUGAUGCAUUGUUCGUUGUAAACUCAUCCGGCUGAAGCAGAUCUCUGGACGUGUGGACAGAUGUUGACUGUAAUGAUGGACAGAAAUGUGGGAGGACUCACCAGUCCCAGCAUGCAAGUGGAUUCUUUUAUUGCUCCACAGCAGCCGAGGAACCCGACCACCAUCAUGACGGCACCUGCCACAGUGAGGAUGUAGACCCCUGAGGUGGAGAAAGAGACCACACUAUUACUCCC